Anolis carolinensis (green anole) is the source of this 1424-nucleotide long non-coding RNA. RefSeq lists it as uncharacterized. The transcript is spliced from 2 exons. The record is from RefSeq and is a predicted model, not a curated record. Lineage: Eukaryota; Metazoa; Chordata; Lepidosauria; Squamata; Anolidae.
GCUGCGGCAUCCAGUUCUGCCUUCUCUGCAACAAUUUGCUGUCUUUUCUUAAGAAACUCUAUUUGUUUUACUGCGGCAGCUGCCUCGGCCCUAGCCUUUAUGACCAGACUAAGGGAUUGGCCAGAAGAACCACUAUGAACAGAAGUCCCUCUUGUUCUUUCUGUUCUAUGGGAUGUGUGAGAUGAUCUUGAUUUGCCUGCUAAUGUACACACAGACCUGUUUGACUUUGUAUCUGUGUCUUUACUAAACAUGUGUUGCACUUGUUCUUCAUCAACAGUUUCCAUAAGGGAGGCAGGGUCUUCUUCUGCCUGACCUUCUGAUAUUUUGUUAGAUAAAUCAUUCAUGAUGGUAUCAAAUUCUAGUUCCCUUCUCUCUCUCUCUGACAACAUUUCUUCCUUAUUACUUAAAGAUUCUGAUGUUUUCAUAUGUUCAAGCAAAGAGAUUAUAUUAUCUGAAUAUGUUAUCCACUCACAGUAUUGAUGUUGUAAUCUUUCCUUACAAUCUAAUAUUUCUUUCUGCUGCCUAAAGCGAUGGCUUGCUUGACUCAUAUCUAAAAUUCUCUGCCAUGACUUCUGAUAUUUAGGUUUCAAGGAAUCUAGUUUAUCUUGCCAGAAGGACAACAUUUUUGAGGUAGGUUUAGAUAUUCUGCUCUUUUGUGAGGAAGAAGCAGACAUCUUUAAGUCUUCUGAAGUUUGUGUCACUUUAUAUUAGACUGAAUUGCUUUUGGACAGAAAGGACUGAAUAGCCUAUUCUCCGUUACUUUGGAAUGUAGGUCUUUUAUUCUCCUGUUGCUGUCCGUUACUAAUAGUCCCUUAAAUAAAGUGAUCACUAACUUUUAAGAUUCUCAGUCCUUUUACUGAGACUUAAAGCUUUUUAGACUUAAAAAUAACUAUUGUGGUCCUGAAAGCCACAUUUUCCUCCGAAAGGGCUUCCCUCAGGUUCCUUCAAAAUGGCGCUGCCCUGUAUGACUGCACUCUCUCUACAGUCAAAAUGGCUGCUUAACUCCUUCUUCUUCUGAGGUAGUUUUCACUUCUCCUCAGGAAGCUUGAAGGAAAGAAAUUCACUUUUACUUGGGAAGGUCAAAGGAAAGAAAUUCACUGUUCUGCCUCCAUGCUUAAUUAAAUGAACUGGAAGGACUCAUAGCACGAAGGACAGAUUGGAGACUGUAGUUGUGAAACAAAAUAUUUUAUUAAUAGACAAAAUUGAUCUCUUUUCCUCUUGAUGCCACUAUGAAGUCUCUUGUGAGGAAAGAAAUCUUUGAGUCUAUGCAGUUCUGGAUAGAUAUUGCCACAGAGUAUAAAGUCUUGUUAUGACUGGAUUCUUUGUAUCUUUGAGAUGACUUCAAUGCAGUGUUGUUGACAUGGCUUUCUCUAUUGCUGUAGUCUAUGGCUUUUUAAUCUAAUUUGAAUACAGUUCCAACGUGA